This 444-nucleotide ribosomal RNA is filed under the name uncultured bacterium. RNAcentral describes it as "bacterial SSU rRNA". It matches the Rfam family "Bacterial small subunit ribosomal RNA", at positions 60 to 518 of the family's 1533-position model. The record is from RNAcentral.
AACGGAGUUUUAACGGAAGUUUCGGAUGGAAGUUGAACUAGUGGCGACGGGUGAGUACGACGUGGGUAACCUGCCUCAGUACAGGGGGAUAACAGUUAGAAAUGACUGCUAACACCGCAUAAUAUAGCGAAACCGCAUGAUUUUGCUAUCAAAUAUUUAUAGGUAUGAGAUGGGCCCGCGUCUGAUUAGCUAGUUGUGGGGUAAAGCCUACCAAGGCGACGAUCAGUAGCCGGCUUGAGAGAGUGACCGGCCACAUUGGGACUGAGACACGGCCCAAACUCCUACGGGAGGCAGCAGUGGGGAAUAUUGGACAAUGGGGGAAACCCUGAUCCAGCGACGCCCGCGUGAGUGAAGAAGUAUUUCGGUAUGUAAAGCUCUAUCAGCAGGGAAGAUAAUGACAGUACCUGACUAAGAAGCCCCGGCUAACUACGUGCCAGCAGCAGC